Molecule: ribosomal RNA, 509 nt
Filed under: Nicomachinae sp. 1 GK-2017
Lineage: Eukaryota; Metazoa; Annelida; Polychaeta; Maldanidae
Description: partial 16S ribosomal RNA
Rfam family: Bacterial large subunit ribosomal RNA
Source: RNAcentral
UGCCUUUUGAUAAUCAAUAAAAGGUAAGCCCUGCCCAGUGAUUUACGAAUUAAACGGCCGCGGUACCCUGACCGUGCUAAGGUAGCAUAUAAUAUGCCCUUUAAUUGGGGGCUGGUAUGAAUGGAUAAACGAGAGCAAAGCUGUCUCUAAAGCACCCAAAAAAUUUGUCCUUUAGGUGAAGAGGCCUAGAUUCUAUUAAAAGACAAAAAGACCCUGUAGAGCUUACAUCACAAAAUUUAAAAUAAAACUAUUAUAUAUUAUCUUUUAUUUAUACAGUGAUUUAACUGGGGCGGUUAAGGAGCAAUGUUUACCCUCCUUUUUUAUUAAAGGUCUACUUCCCUACACUUGAUCCUUUAUAGAUUAUAGAAAAAAGCUACCUCAGGGAUAACAGGCUUAUUUCUUCUGAGAGUACUAAUCGAAGAAGAAGUUUGGCACCUCGAUGUUGGCUUAAAGGACCCCGAAGAUAGCAGAAGUCUUCAAAGGCAGGUUUGUUCAACCUUUAAACCUUU